UCCUGGUUAGCUCAGUUGGUAGAGCGCUCCACUGGAAAGAGAGAGGUCCCGGGUUCAAUACCCGGACCAGGCG
RNAcentral lists this transfer RNA (73 nucleotides) under Ixodes scapularis (black-legged tick). It matches the Rfam family "tRNA". Rfam says of the family: Transfer RNA (tRNA) molecules are approximately 80 nucleotides in length. Their secondary structure includes four short double-helical elements and three loops (D, anti-codon, and T loops). Further hydrogen bonds mediate the characteristic L-shaped molecular structure. tRNAs have two regions of fundamental functional importance: the anti-codon, which is responsible for specific mRNA codon recognition, and the 3' end, to which the tRNAs corresponding amino acid is attached (by aminoacyl-tRNA synthetases). tRNAs cope with the degeneracy of the genetic code in two manners: having more than one tRNA (with a specific anti-codon) for a particular amino acid; and 'wobble' base-pairing, i.e. permitting non-standard base-pairing at the 3rd anti-codon position. Lineage: Eukaryota; Metazoa; Arthropoda; Arachnida; Ixodida; Ixodidae. The record is from Rfam by way of RNAcentral.